AUUGAACGCUAACGGCAUGCUUAACACAUGCAAGUCGAACGGCAGCACAGUAGUAGCAAUACUAUGGGUGGCGAGUGGCGGACGGGUGAGUAAUACAUAGGAAUCUGCCUUGUAGUGGGGGAUAACCCGGGGAAACUCGGGCUAAUACCGCAUAAUCUUUACGAAGCAAAGUGGGGGACCGUAAGGCCUUACGCUAUAAGAUGAGCCUCUGUCGGAUGAGCUGGUUGGUGGGGUAAAGGCCUACCAAGGCAACGAUCCUUAGCUGGUCUGAGAGGAUGAUCAGCCACAGUGAAACGGAGACACGGUGCAGGGUCCAACGGGAGACAGCAGUGGGGAAUAUGGGACAAUGGGCGAAAUGCUGAUCCAGCAAUGCCGUGUGUGAGAAGAAGGCCUUCGGGUUGCAAAGCACUGUUAGUGGAGAAGAAAAGUUCAAGACGAAUAACCUUGAAGGCUAACGUUAUCCACAGAAAAAGCACUGGCUAACUCUGUGCCAGCAGCCGCGGUAA
Molecule: ribosomal RNA, 506 nt
Filed under: uncultured bacterium
Lineage: Bacteria
Description: partial 16S ribosomal RNA
Rfam family: Bacterial small subunit ribosomal RNA
Source: RNAcentral